GACGAACGCUGGCGGCGUGCUUAACACAUGCAAGUCGAACGGAAAGGCCCUGCUUUUGCGGGUUGCUCGAGUGGCGAACGGGUGAGUAACACGUGAGUAACCUGCCCUUGACUUUGGGAUAAAUUCAGGAAACUGGGGCUAAUACCGGAUAGGAGCUCCUGCUGCAUGGGGUGGGUUGGAAAAUUUCGGCGGUUGGGGAUGGACUCGCGGCUUAUCAGCUUGUUGGUGGAGUAGUGGCGUACCAAGGCUUUGACGGGUAGCCGGCAUGAGAGGGUGACCGGCCACAUUGGGACUGAGAUACGGCCCAGACUCCUACGGGAGGCAGCAGUGGGGAAUAUUGCACAAUGGGCGGAAGCCUGAUGCAGCAACGCCGCGUGCGGGAUGACGGCCUUCGGGUUGUAAACCGCUUUCGCCUGUGACGAAGCGUGAGUGACGGUAAUGGGUAAAGAAGCACCGGCUAACUACGUG
This 468-nucleotide ribosomal RNA is filed under the name uncultured bacterium. RNAcentral's name for it is "partial 16S ribosomal RNA". It matches the Rfam family "Bacterial small subunit ribosomal RNA", at positions 28 to 507 of the family's 1533-position model. The record is from RNAcentral.